AAAAUAUUAUAUUUUUAACUAAGUUUUUAUAUAUUUUCUUAAAGUGUGUGCAAUGUAUGUGAGUGUUUGAAUGAUUGGUUUAUACUACUUGUUGUGGAGUAUGAAUUGAUUUGUAAUAUGAAUUGGAAACAAGAUUAUAUAUAUAUGAUUAGGAGAAGGAUAUUAUGAUGAUGAAUAUGUGAUUGAUUUGGUGAGUGUUAUUAAUGGAC
Molecule: long non-coding RNA, 209 nt
Filed under: Vigna radiata
Lineage: Eukaryota; Viridiplantae; Streptophyta; Magnoliopsida; Fabales; Fabaceae
Description: long non-coding RNA (VRAD_LNC006426)
Source: RNAcentral